RNAcentral lists this ribosomal RNA (397 nucleotides) under uncultured bacterium. Its description in RNAcentral is "bacterial SSU rRNA". It matches the Rfam family "Bacterial small subunit ribosomal RNA", at positions 29 to 422 of the family's 1533-position model. The record is from RNAcentral.
AUUGAACGCUGGCGGCGUGCCUAACACAUGCAAGUCGAGCGGUAACAGGUGUAGCAAUACAUGCUGACGAGCGGCGGACGGGUGAGUAACGCUUGGGAAUCUGCCUGUUAGUGGGGGACGAACCCGGGAAACGUCGGGCGUAAUACCGCAUACGCACUACGGUGGAAAGCCGGGACCGCAAGGCCUGGCGCUAACAGAUGAGCCCAAGUCGGAUUAGCUAGUUGGUAGGGUAACGGCCUACCAAGGCGACGAUCCGUAACUGGUCUGAGAGGACGACCAGUCACACCGGAACUGAGACACGGUCCGGACUCCUACGGGAGGCAGCAGGUGGGGAAUAUUGGACAAUGGGCGAAAGACCUGAUCCAGCGACGCCGCGUGGGUGAAGAAGGCCUGCGGG